GAAUCAAAUCAUAAUCACCCUUAUUAAAAGGAGCCGGACAGCAUGGGUAGCACCACAAUGGGCGUGAAACUC
Molecule: small RNA, 72 nt
Filed under: Yersinia intermedia
Lineage: Bacteria; Pseudomonadati; Pseudomonadota; Gammaproteobacteria; Enterobacterales; Yersiniaceae
Description: PutA 5' UTR thermometer
Rfam family: PutA 5' UTR thermometer
About the family: Position upstream of pepN gene responsible for amino acid processing.
Source: RNAcentral